GGGACGUAUAAAGAAGCAACGGUUGUAGAAUAGGUAAAAAGAGAAAGAGGUUGACAAAUUAACAUGACAUGUUGAUUGAGUUGAUUUGGACCUUUCAGAUGUAGGAAUGAACUGAAAAUAAUCUAUUAUUUUAGUAGGAAUUUUGCUUUCGAUAUAAGAGAAUUUACCUUCCAGCGUGUUAAGGAGGAAAGAAUGGAUUCAAGGCAAGCAAUGAAAGAAGAGAGAGCCGAGUCUACAGCUUGGGUGGCUAUAGAAGAACUCCAUAAAAUGAACAAAGAAGGCAACAUGAAGAAAUUGAGUUCGAGGACAAGCCUCAAUAUCAUUGUAAACAAAGAAAUUGAACCAAAGUACUGGAGUACUUGGAAGCGUAUUGAAGCCAGUCUAUGACAUGUAUGAUUAUGUCAAGGAAUCACUUGCCAGAAAAAAUAACCGGACUACCAAGAAGACUGAUCAGGGAAGUGCAAAAUAUAGCUGUCCAUGAAGAAUAAACAAACCGUGAAGUUACUUAUACAGCACCAUAGAGGGGACGAGAGGAUCUGAUGAUUAUGUUUGGUGUUAUUUUAGGUGUUUGUUAUUUGUCAUUUCACCAGACAUUAUAUGUCUUGUAAGUUCAAG
This 615-nucleotide long non-coding RNA is filed under the name Olea europaea subsp. europaea. Lineage: Eukaryota; Viridiplantae; Streptophyta; Magnoliopsida; Lamiales; Oleaceae. The record is from RNAcentral.